GUGUGCUAUGCGGGGAAUUAGCGGUGUCCUGUAACCCUCAAUCCGCUAUAGUGGGGCAGAAUGCCUGCAUGAGAAUGCUGAUUUUUCUGGCGAGUUUGAUAAGCGAUGUUGAGAGUCAAGCCCAACGCAAUUGUGAGCCGAGAAUCGUGUCAGAUCUGGAAGGAAGCAGCACUAAUUGGAAUUUGCGAUGUGCCGUUGGUCUACUUGAUUUGAGUUGGCUGUCAAUUUUCGUUUGAAAAUAGGUGUCAAAUGCAGGUGCACAC
This 263-nucleotide signal recognition particle RNA is filed under the name Candidatus Cloacimonadota bacterium. Its description in RNAcentral is "signal recognition particle sRNA large type". It matches the Rfam family "Bacterial large signal recognition particle RNA". Rfam says of the family: The signal recognition particle (SRP) is a universally conserved ribonucleoprotein involved in the co-translational targeting of proteins to membranes. Archaeal SRP consists of a 7S RNA and homologues of the eukaryotic SRP19 and SRP54 proteins. Lineage: Bacteria; Pseudomonadati; Candidatus Cloacimonadota. The record is from RNAcentral.